CGAACGCUGGCGGAGUGCUUAAGACAUGCAAGUCGUACGAGAAAGUCGCCUUCGGGUGAUGAGUAAAGUGGCGCACGGGUGAGUAUCACGUGGGUAAUCUACCCUCAGGUUCGGGACAACUCCGGGAAACUGGAGCUAAUACCGGAUAAGCCCCCAGGGUUUUCGGACCCAGUGGGAAAAGGUGGCCUCUUCAUGAAUGCUGCCGCCUGCUGAUGAGCCCGCGUCCCAUUAGCUUGUUGGUGAGGUAACGGCUCACCAAGGCUACGAUGGGUAGCUGGUCUGAGAGGAUGAUCAGCCACACUGGAACUGAGACACGGUCCAGACUCCUACGGGAGGCAGCAGUCGGGAAUCUUGGGCAAUGGGCGCAAGCCUGACCCAGCAACUCCGCGUGAGGGAUGAAGGCCCUCGGGUCGUAAACCUCUGUCGGGAGGGAAGAAAGCCGUGCGGUUAAUAGCUUCACGGUCUGACGGUACCUCCAAAGGAAGCGCCGGCUAACUCC
Molecule: ribosomal RNA, 499 nt
Filed under: uncultured bacterium
Lineage: Bacteria
Description: bacterial SSU rRNA
Rfam family: Bacterial small subunit ribosomal RNA
Source: RNAcentral